This 479-nucleotide ribosomal RNA is filed under the name uncultured bacterium. RNAcentral describes it as "partial 16S ribosomal RNA". It matches the Rfam family "Bacterial small subunit ribosomal RNA", at positions 28 to 507 of the family's 1533-position model. The record is from RNAcentral.
GAUGAACGCUAGCGGGAGGCCUAACACAUGCAAGCCGAGCGGUAUUUGUUCUUCGGAACAGAGAGAGCGGCGCACGGGUGCGGAACACGUGUGCAACCUGCCUUUAUCUGGGGGAUAGCCUUUCGAAAGGAAGAUUAAUACCCCAUAAUAUAUUGAGUGGCAUCAUUUGAUAUUGAAAACUCCGGUGGAUAGAGAUGGGCACGCGCAAGAUUAGAUAGUUGGUGAGGUAACGGCUCACCAAGUCAAUGAUCUUUAGGGGGCCUGAGAGGGUGAUCCCCCACACUGGUACUGAGACACGGACCAGACUCCUACGGGAGGCAGCAGUGAGGAAUAUUGGACAAUGGGUUAGCGCCUGAUCCAGCCAUCCUGCGUGAAGGACGACGGCCCUAUGGGUUGUAAACUUCUUUUGUAUAGGGAUAAACCUACUCUCGUGAGAGUAGCUGAAGGUACUAUACGAAUAAGCACCGGCUAACUCCGUG